CCUACGGGAGGCAGCAGUCGGGAAUUUUGGGCAAUGGGCGAAAGCCUGACCCAGCAACGCCGCGUGAAGGAUGAAGCUUUUCGGAGUGUAAACUUCAUAAGAAUGGGACGAAUAAGGAAGGGCUAAUACCCCUUUUGAUGACGGUACCAUUUGUAAGCUCCGGCUAACUCCGUGCCAGCAGCCGCGGUAAUACGGGGGGAGCAAGCGUUGUUCGGAUUUACUGGGCGUAAAGGGCGCGUAGGCGGCGCAACAAGUCACUUGUGAAAUCUCCGGGCUUAACCCGGAGCGGCCAAGUGAUACUGUCGUGCUAGAGUGCGGAAGGGGCUACUGGAAUUCUCGGUGUAGCGGUGAAAUGCGUAGAUAUCGAGAGGAACACCUGCGGCGAAGGCGGGUAGCUGGGCCGACACUGACGCUGAGGCGCGAAAGCCAGGGGAGCGAAC
This 440-nucleotide ribosomal RNA is filed under the name uncultured bacterium. RNAcentral describes it as "bacterial SSU rRNA". It matches the Rfam family "Bacterial small subunit ribosomal RNA", at positions 338 to 773 of the family's 1533-position model. The record is from RNAcentral.